CGUCGCGGGACAUGACUUACAACGGCGAGUGAAGCGGCAAAAGCUCAAAUUUGAAAUCUGGCACCUUCGGUGUCCGAGUUGUAAUUUGAAGAAGGUAACUUUGGAGUUGGCUCUUGUCUAUGUUCCUUGGAACAGGACGUCACAGAGGGUGAGAAUCCCGUGCGAUGAGAUGCCCAAUUCUAUGUAAAGUGCUUUCGAAGAGUCGAGUUGUUUGGGAAUGCAGCUCUAAGUGGGUGGUAAAUUCCAUCUAAAGCUAAAUAUUGGCGAGAGACCGAUAGCGAACAAGUACAGUGAUGGAAAGAUGAAAAGAACUUUGAAAAGAGAGUGAAAAAGUACGUGAAAUUGUUGAAAGGGAAGGGCUUGAGAUCAGACUUGGUAUUUUGCGAUCCUUUCCUUCUUGGUUGGGUUCCUCGCAGCUUACUGGGCCAGCAUCGGUUUGGAUGGUAGGAUAAUGACUAAGGAAUGUGGCUCUACUUCGGUGGAGUGUUAUAGCCUUGGUUGAUACUGCCUGUCUAGACCGAGGACUGCGUCUUUUGACUAGGAUGUUGGCAUAAUGAUCUUAAGCCACCCGUCUUGAAACACAGGACCAACCAAUUCUUCUUUAAAAUACAGUUUCUUUACUAUUAUCUUAUCUGUUUCUUUUUUGGUUUUUUUAGUUUUUG
This 662-nucleotide ribosomal RNA is filed under the name Debaryomyces hansenii. Its description in RNAcentral is "LSU rRNA". The stretch from base 1 to 584 matches the Rfam family "Eukaryotic large subunit ribosomal RNA", at positions 65 to 664 of the family's 3401-position model. Lineage: Eukaryota; Fungi; Ascomycota; Pichiomycetes; Serinales; Debaryomycetaceae. The record is from RNAcentral.